UUUUUACAUUAUCAAAUCUGAAUCUCCCCACGGGUCUCAUCUUAAGGCCAUUUCCUCUGGUCCUCGCACUGCAGGCAUGGCCAAGGAGUCCGGCCCGCAGCUCGCUGCCAUCUCCUUUCAGGGACUUGUAGAGAAAAGGAGAACACAAUAACGCUCGCAAGCCGCCGAGGCAGUACCCUGACAAAAAGAUAGGACAAGAGCAUGGACCAGGCUCUCCUCGGUGGCACCCAGCAACAGGAGAUGAGGCAGUGGGCAGAAACUGAUGCACAGAAACUCCACCUGAACAUGAGGAAGAAUUUCUUUACUGUACAGGUGACCGUGCACUGGAACAGACUGCCCAGAGGAGCUGUGGAGUCUCCCUCACUGGAUAUUCCAGAACCAUCUGAACACAAUCCUGUGCCAUGUGCUCUGUGGUGACCCUGCUUGAGCAGGGAGGUUGGACCAGAUAGACCCUUCCAGCCUGACCCAUUCUGGGAUUCUGUGAGGGGAAAUGCAAAAAGUGAUGGCUGGGUGUGGUGCUGUAGGAAAAGGUGAAAAAACAAUAAUUUUAAGAAACAUUCUUUGAAUAGAUGAGUUUGGAUAUUCAAGGUGAGAUAUCAAAUUUUUUCUCCCUUGUGUGUUUAAGUUGUAGUCUCAAAAGUUGUAACUCUGGCACACAGUUCCUCUGAGGUCAGAUUCCUCUCCAUGCAUGUAGCACCUGAACAGAGCCCUGCACUGGGUGAAUGUAUUGGAGCAUCCUUUGUGUUAUAUUCAAGUAUGUGGCUUUCUGAGUGCCAUGGCUGAGAGCAAAGUAUAGGGCAGAAAAGUUAUUAUUCUAUUUUUAAAAUAUGGACUUCAUCCAUGCUUUAAAUUGCUGUAAAAUUAUAUUUCUUGCCCCUUAUUUAAAAAGUAGAGGCGUUAAUUUAUAGAUCACCAAAGUGAAGUUAGAGAGUUCCAAUGCCUAAAAUGUAUCCUUCCCAAAUAAAGUCAAUUAAAAGGCUACUCAUUAUUUAGGAAGUGUUUGUGUAGGAGUGGGGUCAGUUCAAAAAGACAAAAGCCAGCUUGGAAUAAGGCAGAAGAAAAACUAAAACAAAUCAAUAAGACAACUAGUAGGACAACCCUAAGUAUAGGCUUGGUGCUUUGGGGAAAUGCAAGCUUCAAAAGAAAUAUUGUUGAUUGUUGACGCUAAGUUGUGGUUGUGGAAACAAUUCUUCAAAAUUAGAGCAGAGAGACACCUCACUCCAUUAUUAGUUUCUCAUCAGCAAGUCGCUGUGAAGUCCAAGUUGUUGGUCCACUUGAAAAGAAAAAACCCAAAGGAUUAGUAGGUUAGACUGGCUUUUCCUCAUGGGUGACGUUCGGACCUCAGAGGAUUCACAGCCUGGCAAAUGCAAAGGCAGUUACAGGGGAGAAAAAAAGUGAAGAGUCCUAAAACCUGAGCUGCAGUAAACAAGACAGAAGUUGCACAAGGAAGUCUCUUUGCUUUAAUAAUUUAAAGAGCAGAUUUUAUAUUUACAGUUAAAGCAUGAUGGAUGCCAACCAUAAAACUUUCUGUUUAGCCAAGCAAACAGAACAUGGCAGAGAAACAUGAUUCCAUAUGGAACUAGAGGGUUGGAAUCAAAACACUGCCUGCAUCAAUGCAACCAGGACCAUGGCUUCUUUAACACAAUUGUUAUCAUUACAUAAAUCUGCCCAGCUAUUUUCUAACACUGUUCUGACUCUAAACAGCAUAGCCCCGUUUUAGCAUCCUUCAGAUAUAGGAUUAAUAUUUGGGAAGGCUUAGAGACCAAUUUUGCAUUUGGAGAAAGGAAGGUAUGAGAAGGUAAAGUGCCUGCUCAUAGCUGAGGGCAGGGCAGUUUGGCAUUUUCUACAGCAAAACACUGAGAAU
Vidua chalybeata is the source of this 1864-nucleotide long non-coding RNA. RefSeq lists it as uncharacterized. The transcript has 3 exons. Lineage: Eukaryota; Metazoa; Chordata; Aves; Passeriformes; Viduidae. The record is from RefSeq and is a predicted model, not a curated record.